GGGAACCUCACCCGGCCCGGACACCGCGAGGAUUGACAGACUGAGAGCUCUUUCUCGAUUCGGUGGGUGGUGGUGCAUGGCCGUUCUUAGUUGGUGGAGCGAUCUGUCUGGUUAAUUCCGAUAACGAACGAGACCCCAACCUGCUAAAUAGUGACGCGGUUCAUCGAACCGUGGGCCACUUCUUAGAGGGACUAUCGGAUUCAAACCGAUGGAAGUGUGAGGCAAUAA
This 228-nucleotide ribosomal RNA is filed under the name uncultured eukaryote. Its description in RNAcentral is "partial 18S ribosomal RNA". It matches the Rfam family "Eukaryotic small subunit ribosomal RNA", at positions 1208 to 1456 of the family's 1831-position model. The record is from RNAcentral.